Molecule: long non-coding RNA, 610 nt
Filed under: Homo sapiens (human)
Lineage: Eukaryota; Metazoa; Chordata; Mammalia; Primates; Hominidae
Description: HSALNT0346143
Source: RNAcentral
CUACUUCUAGGUAGACAGUGUGAAAAUUGAAUUGAAUUAUAGGACAUCCAGCUGGUGUUCACUGGAGAACGGAUUGCUUGCUGUGUAUGAAAAACUACGUAGGUCUGGUCACAGAUGUGUUCUGUGUUGUAUUGUGUGUGAGAGGAGGAAAAAUAGUUUGAUUUAUCCUUUCUCUUUCAGAGUAGACCUUCCUCAAUGGGUCUUUUGAAACACAAUGUUGAUUUCUUUUUCCUGUAGGUGACAGUAGGGAAAGAAGACGCUACCAUUGCUUAGCCAUCCCACCAACUCAUCUCAUUACAUCUGUACACACAGCUCAACAGGCAAAACCCUCUCUGGGAAUGUGAUUCUUCCUGGCAAAGCAGGCAUGAACAGAGACGAAGAAUGCCAAUACCCUCUUGACCAUCAAGAUAUGCCAAAACCACUUUAGAGAAUAUUGGAAUAAAGUGCCUGAGAACAGAUCACCCAAGAAAAAGUUGACAGAGGAACAACUUCUAAUUCAUUCUGAUGACACUUUUGAGGCUUCCAAAAAAUCAUAUUUUCCUCAGGCUUCUUCUAUAAGGCCUGCUUUUUUUGGUCUCACUUCUAACUGAGGAAAAAAAGGUAAGACAUA